UACAGAGGUCCCAAGCGUUGUUCGGAUUCACUGGGCGUAAAGGGUGCGUAGGCGGUCGGGUAAGUCUGAUGUGAAAUCUCACAGCUUAACUGUGAAACUGCAUUGGAUACUAUCCGGCUAGAGGAAUGGAGGGGAGACUGGAAUACUUGGUGUAGCAGUGAAAUGCGUAGAUAUCAAGUGGAACACCAGUGGCGAAGGCGAGUCUCUGGACAUUUCCUGACGCUGAGGCA
This 230-nucleotide ribosomal RNA is filed under the name uncultured bacterium. RNAcentral describes it as "partial 16S ribosomal RNA". It matches the Rfam family "Bacterial small subunit ribosomal RNA", at positions 524 to 753 of the family's 1533-position model. The record is from RNAcentral.